GCAGCACCUCGUUAGGCGAGGCUCCUGCACGAACACAGGCCACUGAUCUGACGACGUCGAGAGACGCCCAAGGUUAGGACAGGUCUCCCCGGAUUAAGGGGUGAUCCAAGGUGGCUUCCCCGAGUCGGGACACGUCGUGCAGUGCCGAAGCUCUUACGUGGAGGUGACGU
Rhodococcus sp. RD6.2 is the source of this 170-nucleotide regulatory RNA element. It matches the Rfam family "M-box riboswitch aptamer (ykoK leader)". From Rfam's summary of the family: M-box riboswitch, also know as ykoK leader is described as a metaloregulatory RNA that sense divalent metals and function as a genetic control element of genes related to divalent metal transport in bacteria. It was first reported upstream of the B.subtilis ykoK gene and genes with related functions in other bacteria. Lineage: Bacteria; Bacillati; Actinomycetota; Actinomycetes; Mycobacteriales; Nocardiaceae. The record is from Rfam.